UAUCAAGUUAACGUUACAAAUCAAAUCCUGAUUGAAAUUAUGUAAUUUAUUCAUCAAUUGUUAAUGAAUUAGUUCAAUAUUAUAUAAUUUGUUCAAUGAAUGCCUUGAAUUAGUUCAUUUUGUUGAAUUGUGAUUUUCGCUUGAAACAUGCCAAGAAGAAUUAGAAAAUUCCUCAAUAGUGCAUACAGCUUUUUUGAAAGUUUGACUUGAAAAAUCUGAUGAUAACGAACCUGCAAUAAUUCGAGCUAUAUACCAACAGUGAUCUCUUAUUACAGAAAAGGCAGCUCUUUCAGUUGCUUAAACGGAAAAAAAAAAAAUUGUCAAUCAUGACAAAUAUGACAAAUCCGGUUCAUUCGUUAAAAGUAUUCGUUGGCAAAGUGUUUAAGAGUAAACUGAUAAUAAAUUUCAGUAAAUAUAAUGUAGAUUACAAUAACAAGAGCGCAUAAGACAUGUUUGCAAGAAGCGGUGUUUAAAAGACGACGGAGAAGUUUUAUAGCAAUAGAUAUAAGAUGAAUAGAUAGCAAGAGAUACCAGCAACUAAAAUAAUGAAGGAAAUAACGCAUAGCAGCCACAAAAAUAAUGUGGUGAAAAGAUAACGGUUAAAAGAACGUAGACACAUAAAGCUUGUUAAAGAUAACAAGAUAUGCGUUUAUAAUCUGAAGAUUAUUUAAGUUCCGAGAAUAGAAAUAUCACAACUCUAGUUCACAUGUAAAAAAAUGUUUGUCGUCUAAAGAGACGAAUCUUUUCUUCUUCGGUCAUAAGAUCUGGGUAGGGGGAUAAGGAGUGAAACGUAGAGAAUCGAGGCCAGAAAGAGAUGACAAUGUGAACAAUAACUAUCAAGUUUAGGAAAUUAUUGCUUUGAUAUCUGAAAGCCUGGCGUUAAUCAUGAACAAAACUUGAUGGAGGUAUAUUAUAAUAUAUUAUACUAAUUACACCAGACGAACCCCACAUCACCAAACUUCUUCCACUAAACAGCACAGACAAACACACGCAUACAAACCAAUGCAUGUACAUAACAUUUAUAGAUGCUGAAACGGGGUUAUCAGAUAUAAAACUCUGUAUUGAAGGAAAGAUACUCAAUUACUGAGGCCUUUUACUGCUGGGAUGCAAAUCGGGAUAUGAUCAACCGUAGCUGGGUCAAAUGGACGAGAGUUUCAUAUUGAACAACGUGACAUUAUAUAAUGGCCUCAGGAACAUCAGUGUGAAUGUAUCGCAGAAUAUCCGAGUUAUAGUCAAUCAGUGCCAAUCGGAAACUAAACUAGAAGACAAGAAAGAAUAGUUUACCGAAUACUGGAAGAUAAUUUAAAAUCACGGAAAGACGGCAGAAAAUGUGAGUAAACCCAGCAUCCUGCUGUGUGAAAUUUGUUCUUCUUCUAAGAUGUUGACUAGGGGAUGUCAAGAGAAAGAAUAGAAUGAGAUGCCCAAAUGGAAGAUAUUAAGGAAUAAUGCCCAAGGAAAUAAUGGUCUCAAAUUAUAUUGGGAGUGAGAUGUCGAAAUCAUCGAUUCCUGUUCAAAGUCAAAGUUGUCCUCGGAGGUAUUAGAGCUCAAAACGUAAAGAUUCGGAAGAAAGUUCGCUGGGCAUUUUAUCCAAAGCACUAAUAGUUCUACUACAUCGCCGCCUUUACUAGGCUCAUGAAAAUAACUCUGUCUAAUUUUGGCACAAAAGCCAGCAAUUUUAAGGGGAUGGAGCUAAUCGAUUACGUAGAUCGGAGCACCUUUCCUUUCUACUAUAUGCAAGAUGGGGUACGCCGAUUAUUUUGAACCCAGUGCUAGAUUGAUACUUAUUUUAUCGAUUCCAAAAGGAUGGAAGUCAAACUCGACCUUGUUAGCAUUUGGACUCGGGGUGUAAUGACGGACGAAAUGCCGCUACGUUUUUUAUCCGGUGUACUAACGAUUCUCCCAGCUCGCCGUCUAUAGCCCAAUGAAAAUAAUGAAGCGACAAUGAAGGCAAAAUGUGUUUUCAGCAAAAUAAUGUAAGACGUUAGUGAGCUAACCGUCCAUCAGACACAUAAUUAUUAUAACAGAAAACUCAGAGAGAAGGUGAAAGAAAUAUUGGAAGACAAGAUAUGUUCAUCUUAUUAGAAAAUGACCUUUUGUGUGAGGAAGGAAACGAACUUUUUGCAUUCAAGUGGACAAGGUUUUUAGCUGGAAGGCCAGAUGGUGUUUUUGAUUUUCUCCAGUAAAAAUUAUAAUUACAGUUCAAGAAAAAAUAAACAGCAUAGAUACAGAACAUCGAUGGAAAUAAAUUACCUGGAUAAUACAAUACACACAAAUCAUAGUACAGCAGACUGUUAGAAGUGAGCCUUUUUGGACAAAUUGUGUACUUUGCUUCCAGGAUGUCACUCAAGAGCAUCCACUAAAAGUCCCCCAUCAUGCUGGGUUCCGCUUAUCUUAGUAGUUACUCCCCAUCUUAGUAAUAUCUUGGCGGAACCUAUCUCCAUGCUCAUCACUCACUGCUCCGAGCUUCAGAGGGAAGAAGUUGAGGUGGAAGUGGAGAAAGUGAGUUUUGAUUCGGCAUCCCAUAUCCUCAUAAGACUGUAAGAACGAUAAUCUAGUACCCGUGUCUUAUCAAGGAAGCCAUGGCAGAAUGACUUAAAUGCUUCACAUUCUUUCAGUUCCUUUAAAGUCCUUAUCCUUCAGCACAUCUCGGAUCUGACGUCAGAUGAAGAUUCUCUCUUUGAGCUUAGCAGAACUGAGAGCUGGGAACAGGGUGCACAAGUGUUGGAAGGCAGCGCCAUUUUUGUCCAUGGCCUUCACGAAAUGUUUCAGUAAACCAAGUUUGAUAUGAAGAGAAGGAAGAAGCCCCUUGUUCAUGUCCACUUGAGGAUUUUCUUGGACACUGUGUUCAUCAGGAAGAAGAUCCUUAUUUGCUGGGGGUCUCUAAAGACAGAAACAUCAUCUGAUUGACAAACGGGUCUCAUAGCUGAAGAAAUUUAGGAUAUUUGAUCUUUGUUCUAGAAGAUGCAUUGAAACCUGUUAUAUUUGUUAGACAAAAAUAACGACCAGUUGCAUGGCUGCGUAGCUCUCUCCAGAUCAUCGAGACAGCAAAGUUGAAGGCAAUCUUAAACCAUGUUAAAAUCAGCAAAGUUAAACCAUGCAAUUAGUCCAUUGUAGCAGGGUUUACAACAGAUGUGUGGAGCCAAGAAUUUCUCCUGAUCUCCAAUUUUACAUUCAAAAUAAUAAAAGUAAGUAGUUCUCAGGAUGGACGUAAUUGUUCGGCGCGGUGCAACUGUCGUGAAAUCUCCACACAUGUAGCAGAAUGAAUUUGCCUCGUUGAUGCAUCCUCGGUGUUUUGAAGUGCCUGAAGCCAUUGUAGAGACAUGUAUCAUAUGUAUCACAAAAAUCUGGAAAACAAAAUAAAAAUUGAUCAUAAAGCUAGGGGCGAUGAGUGAAAACUGGUUUUGUAUCUGAAAUCAGCACUCCAAAAUUAAGCUAGAACAACUAUUUUUUUGUUUGCCUCGAUGUCUCUGUACACCAGUAUAAUCUGAAACUUCAAGAAUUCAAAUCGUUAUGCAUCUAAUAUUCCCUUUUGUCUGUUUGUCUCUUUUCUUUCCCUUCGUUCCGUAUAUAACCAUAAAACACUGAAUGUAUAUUUAGUAAAACGAAUGAGGUAUACAAUCAUUGGGUUCAUUAUAUUCUUUGCCACAAUAUGUGGCAACUGCCAUCACGCAAUAUGUGAGACUCCUGGUUAUUUUGUUAAACAAAGAUUAAUAUAUAGGGAAAUCGGUGAAACAAUGAAUAUUACCCUUAAGUUAAAACAUUGGAGUAAAAAGGAUUUCUUCUAAAAGUACAAGAGAACUCUAAAGUAUACAUCUAAAAGAACGAAAAUAUAAAUAAUGAGACAAAACUGUAACACCAAAGACAGGAUAAGCUAAAAAGAAUGCUGAACGCUAUGAUAUAAAGGUGUAUGAUGAGAUAACAGGCAACUGCCAUUAGAACAAUCUAGCAAUUAGAUAUAGAUAAAUAUAUAUAUAGAAACAAACUUACGAUAGAGAAUUUAAUAAUUGUAAAACUAAAAUGCAUGGGAAUAGGAGACAGAAAUAUCAGGAAUAAUACUAUUGGAACAUGGAACAGAUAUUGAUAUUAUUACAAUAUUACAUGGGGACUAAUAUAACAACAUGAACUACAUAGUAGAAAAUUCUUCUUAAAAGUAAUAACGUAUAGAUUGAUGACGCCCAAAUCAUAUUAAAUACGAUAAGGUUUAAAGUUAUAA
This is an RNA transcript of Octopus bimaculoides (California two-spot octopus), 4213 nucleotides long. It is a transcript of the gene named histone-lysine N-methyltransferase SETMAR-like, with no coding region annotated. Lineage: Eukaryota; Metazoa; Mollusca; Cephalopoda; Octopoda; Octopodidae. The record is from RefSeq and is a predicted model, not a curated record.